UAAUUGCACACAACUCCCUAUAAAUAUAGCAAAUCGCAAAUAUAUUCCUACAAAGUUCAAUUUUCUUAUAUUAUCACUACAAAAGUCUUAAUAUUUUCAAAUAUGCCCCUACCGUUAGGAUCUGUUAGAAAAAUUUAGUUAACCAUAGGUAAAAUACUUAAUCCUAAUUAGUUAAUAAGGUAAAUUGAUAUUUUUACCUCUCUUAUAUUAUAUCUUCUUCUCUUAAUCAAAACCUAGCAAUGGGCACUCUUCUAUUUUUCCUCUUCCUCAUUCUCUUCCUCUCUCUCCUUUAUGCUAGUUUUGAACUCGUAACUAGAAUUUCUCGUCCCCAUUCAUCCACGAUGCAUGUUGCUUCUCCCAUGUUGAACGCGUGUUGCAUUCCCAUUCAAUUUCCUCUAUGAUUUUUUCUUAUUUUGUUCAAAAGAAAAGAUUUAGGAGAAAAGCAAUAAGAAAAGAGGUUGCAAUAAUAAUGGAUUGGAUUGGAUUUUAAAAAGGAAGAAGAUAGCUAUUGAAAAUUUUUUGGGAGGAUAUUGGUGCAUGAUUAUAGCUAUUUGGACUUUUAGAGGGACAUAUUUGUGAUGGUAAAAUUGACAUUUCACAUCUGCUGUUAAAAAUAAAUAGUUCUCUAAUGGUAACAAACCAGAGGGACAAAUAUGAAUAUCACCAGACUUUUGCAAGGAUAAGAGUUAAAAGUUGAACUUUGUAGGAAUAUAUUUACUAUUCGCUAUGUUUACAUAGAGUUGUAUGCAAUUAGCCCUAUUUCUUAUGUCCAAAUAUUCUCAUAUUUCAAAUAU
Molecule: long non-coding RNA, 794 nt
Filed under: Ananas comosus (pineapple)
Lineage: Eukaryota; Viridiplantae; Streptophyta; Magnoliopsida; Poales; Bromeliaceae
Description: long non-coding RNA (ACOM_LNC001899)
Source: RNAcentral